Pygoscelis adeliae (Adelie penguin) is the source of this 1203-nucleotide long non-coding RNA. RefSeq lists it as uncharacterized. Lineage: Eukaryota; Metazoa; Chordata; Aves; Sphenisciformes; Spheniscidae. The transcript is spliced from 2 exons. The record is from RefSeq and is a predicted model, not a curated record.
UUUAGGAUUAGGAUCUUCGUGGUGCAAAGGUUGGGCCCUUCGCUACUGCCGGUGUAAAAUAAAAUGGCUGAGACCACCACCGGCCAAGCGGCGUCAUUUGCACAGCGCCAUGGAGACACCUCAGCUAGAGAGCUCCCCUGCAUCCCGGCUCUGCCCUUCGAGCUGCGAGUACCAUCGACUGCUUGACAGGUCACCAAAACUCCCAUAAAUACCACCUCAAGGUUUAUGGUAGGCCUAGCAAAGGUGCCGAGUCCAUGCAGCCCGACUUACGAGUCCACAGGCAGUGGCCCCGAAGUGCAAGAAACACGGCAUUUCUCCCUGCAAGAACAGAAGUGCAAGAUGUGAUGUCAGCCUCAUUCUCACUGGAACUGGUGACUGUUUGGGCACUGAUGCCACUCAGAACAAGCUGGCUCAGCACUUUCCCCAGCCCCUCAGAGGAAAGGAAACGAAACAAUGGGCCUAAAUGAAGGAAGUGCUUUUUCCAGUGUCUGAACUGAGCAGUUCCACCAACCACCUUCAUGCUGACCACAAAACCUACGCUGAAGCGGAGAAGAGAGCUGACCCCAGCACAGUUCUCUACUGACAAGGCAGAAAGCUGAACUGCUGCAUCUCGAGGUGAUCUGCAAAUACGGUUUACCCAAACAGUGAUAGCCCGAGCCCUCAACAGCGUUUCGGUGCCCAGCUUUCACUGGCGUCCCACGGCAAUGCGAGGAGAAUCCCACGCUCCCACAAAACACAUACUCUGCGUUUUCCACUGCAUUCCUGGGUAUGGCGAUGAGGAUCUGAAAAGAAAACCUCACGUCAGCUGCGAUCCUUCUGAGCAGGAAAACACAACCUGAAUUCUGGCCUCCUGAAUGCAGAAGGAGCUCAGAUGGAGUCUCGGGUACUUUCAAGGACUGCUCGCUCUUCAGUUGCUCUGAAGUUGGGUACUUCCAGAAGAUAUUCCAGAAGCAAUUUUCUGGUAGAUCUGGAUUUCACCCUGGAUUUUUGCAGGACAAAUGAUCUAAGAAACUGCAUGGUGCAGAAAGUAAAUGCCAAAAAACCGAGAAAAAACAGCCGCGAGUACCUAACUGAUGGGAAAAACGACUAUAUACAUGUUCUCAAUAUGUAAAAUACAAUUUAUUGUAUUUAGGCCAUUCAUAAGUAUCAACACAAUGUAUCAUGUUUGAAACAAACAUCUUACCAAUAAAUACUAUCUAAACA